This 236-nucleotide long non-coding RNA is filed under the name Mytilus galloprovincialis (Mediterranean mussel). The record is from RNAcentral. Lineage: Eukaryota; Metazoa; Mollusca; Bivalvia; Mytilida; Mytilidae.
AUGUUGAUUAAGUAAACGCGGACCUCGAAGAAGACACCCAUUGACAUGCCUGUUUGAAGCAAUAUCAAAUAUGAAUAGGAACGUUAUUUAAUCAUAAUGAUUGUUCAUAGUUUCUAACAACACUUCUUCGAACGCAAGUCAUCUCAUGAAUAUUAUUGACGGCUCAUGAAUAUUAUUGCAGGCUGGCCUCAUGAAUAUUAACGCCGGCUGCUAUCGACGGCUAGCUUCACACUAGU